Molecule: ribosomal RNA, 639 nt
Filed under: Triticum aestivum (bread wheat)
Lineage: Eukaryota; Viridiplantae; Streptophyta; Magnoliopsida; Poales; Poaceae
Description: partial small subunit ribosomal RNA
Source: RNAcentral
AUGGAAUUAAGAUUUCCCAGGUUUAGCCAAGGCUUAGCUCAGGACCCCACUACUCGUCGUAUUUGGUUUGGUAUUGCUACCUCACAUGAUUUCAAAAGUCAUGAUGAUAUUACUGAAGAACAUCUUUAUCAGAACAUUUUUGCUUCUCACUUUGGGCAAUUAGCAAUAAUCUUUCUAUGGACGUCCGGAAAUCUAUUUCAUGUAGCUUGGCAAGGAAAUUUUGAAUCAUGGAUACAAGAUCCUUUACACGUAAGACCUAUUGCUCAUGCGAUUUUGGAUCCUCAUUUUGGUCAACCCACUGUGGAAGCCUUUACUCGAGGAGGUGCUGCUGGUCUAGUGAAUAUUGCUUAUUCUGGAGUUUAUCAGUGGUGGUAUACAAUAGGAUUACGCACCAAUGAGAAUCUUUAUACUGGAGCUCUUUUUCUAUUAUUUCUUUCUACGCUGUCCUUAAUAGCGGGUUGGUUACAUCUACAACCCAAAUGGAAACCAAGCCUUUCGUGGUUCAAAAACGCGGAAUCUCGUCUCAAUCAUCAUUUGUCAGGACUUUUCUGGGUAAGUUCUUUGGCUUGGACAGGACAUUUAGUUCAUGUUGCUAUUCCCUCAUCCAGGAAUAAUUUCUUAGAUGGAAUAAUUUCUUAG